Molecule: transfer RNA, 72 nt
Filed under: Abronia graminea
Lineage: Eukaryota; Metazoa; Chordata; Lepidosauria; Squamata; Anguidae
Description: tRNA-Ile
Source: RNAcentral
GGAAGCGUGCCUGAACAAAAGGACUAUUUUGAUAGAAUAGACAAUAGAGGUUAUUUAACCCUCUCACUUCCU